GAUGAACGCUGGCGGCGUGCCUAAUACAUGCAAGUCGAGCGAACGGACGAGAAGCUUGCUUCUCUGAUGUUAGCGGCGGACGGGUGAGUAACACGUGGAUAACCUACCUAUAAGACUGGGAUAACUUCGGGAAACCGGAGCUAAUACCGGAUAAUAUUUUGAACCGCAUGGUUCAAAAGUGAAAGACGGUCUUGCUGUCACUUAUAGAUGGAUCCGCGCUGCAUUAGCUAGUUGGUAAGGUAACGGCUUACCAAGGCAACGAUGCAUAGCCGACCUGAGAGGGUGGUUGGCCAAACUUGAACUUAGGCACGGUCCAGACUCCUACGGGAGGCAGCAGUAGGGAAUCUUCCGCAAUGGGCGAAAGCCUGACGGAGCAACGCCGCGUGAGUGAUGAAGGUCUUCGGAUCGUAAAACUCUGUUAUUAGGGAAGAACAUAUGUGUAAGUAACUGUGCACAUCUUGACGGUACCUAAUCAGAAAGCCACGGCUAACUACGUG
RNAcentral lists this ribosomal RNA (497 nucleotides) under uncultured bacterium. RNAcentral describes it as "partial 16S ribosomal RNA". It matches the Rfam family "Bacterial small subunit ribosomal RNA", at positions 28 to 507 of the family's 1533-position model. The record is from RNAcentral.